Molecule: ribosomal RNA, 35 nt
Filed under: Quercus pyrenaica
Lineage: Eukaryota; Viridiplantae; Streptophyta; Magnoliopsida; Fagales; Fagaceae
Description: partial 25S ribosomal RNA
Source: RNAcentral
GCGACCCCAGGUCAGGCGGGACUUCCCGCUGAGUU